Molecule: long non-coding RNA, 352 nt
Filed under: Homo sapiens (human)
Lineage: Eukaryota; Metazoa; Chordata; Mammalia; Primates; Hominidae
Description: non-protein coding PTPRG-AS1:15
Source: RNAcentral
ACAUUUAAAGGCAUAAAGUAUUUACUCACUCCCUGGCCACAGCCACCGUUACCUUCUCAAUCCCAACUUCGGAUAUAAUUAUUGAUAUAUUUAUAACGAGUUUAUGAAGAAUGUGAAAAAGAUCUGACCACCCUAGCUAUGGACUGAAGUUGGAGCCUCUUUUCUAAUAUAAUGCAAUUGACCAAGACUGCUUGGGAGCAGCUGUCAGUAUUGUUUAAAGCUGUCAUUCAAUAUGGCCAAACUCUUUGUUAUCUAAAACCCCUUGUCUGAUCUGUUGCCUCUGUUUCACUUUUCCAAUUAGAUGAAUGACAGAAACAAAAAAUCGUAAUAAAUAUUGUCAAAUCUGAUUUUA